UACGUAGGGGGCUAGCGUUGUCCGGAAUCAUUGGGCGUAAAGCGCGUGUAGGCGGUCCGGUAAGUCCGCUGUGAAAGUCGAGGGCUCAACCCUCGAAUGCCGGUGGAUACUGUCGGGCUAGAGUACGGAAGAGGCGAGUGGAAUUCCUGGUGUAGCGGUGAAAUGCGCAGAUAUCAGGAGGAACACCAAUUGCGAAGGCAGCUCGCUGGGACGUUACUGACUCUGAGACGCGAAAGCGUGGGGAGCAAACAGG
This 253-nucleotide ribosomal RNA is filed under the name uncultured bacterium. Its description in RNAcentral is "partial 16S ribosomal RNA". It matches the Rfam family "Bacterial small subunit ribosomal RNA", at positions 524 to 776 of the family's 1533-position model. The record is from RNAcentral.